RNAcentral lists this long non-coding RNA (1737 nucleotides) under Pan troglodytes (chimpanzee). RNAcentral describes it as "long non-coding RNA NONPTRT000070". The record is from RNAcentral. Lineage: Eukaryota; Metazoa; Chordata; Mammalia; Primates; Hominidae.
GUACAGAAGAGAAAUGCUCAGUUGUCAAAAAACUACAAAGGGAUCCCUGGCUCUGGGUGUGCUAUGAAGACAACUCCCUCCCCAGUGAGCCCAGGGAACAGGCCUGGAUGCUGGACAAAGUUUGGGAGGGAGCUCCAGGCCCAGGGUCCUCCACUUGGGGUCUCCCCCUUUAUGUUUGUAAAAACCGCAGGACUGGAGUAUUGAGGACUCUGUCCCCCUGCAAGUAUUGCCGUUGGAUAUGAAACACACAGAGCAAAACCCCAAGGUGACAAAUGAGUGAAAACCUAAGGUGACAAGUGGACAGACGCCCCCCAGAUGGAGGAGACGCUGGCUAGCUGGCGACCUCUGCCCCUACGUAACUUGUCAGUCCUUGAAGGCACAGCAGCAUUGGCCAGAGAUGGCCCCUCCCGUGGCCAGGGCUGGAUUGCAGUUCCCUGCCUUGCUCACCUGUGGCCACAGCUCAUAACCCCAGUUACCCCACAGCCAGGGACUGGAGGGGCCUCUGAAGCACAGACAGGCUUAGGCAGCCUCCCACCCCCACCCCAGCAGCUUCUUCUGGGAGUGGGACCCUAUCUGAAGGAUGAAGAGAUGGGCUUGGCCACCUGAGGGCCAGAAGGAACUGGGCACAGGCAGGCUCUAUGCUCACCUUGGAAUUACCCCAGGUCUUCAUAUUGUGGGGCCACUGUGUAGGGGUAGGGGUCUGAAGGAGACAGCCUUCUCAUCUGCCCUAUUUCACCAGCUCAAGGGUAUAGCUGUUCCUGGUUCUCCUUAGCCUGGGAAGACCCAGCGCCCAUGGCAAUCCCCAGGCCUGCUAAGGGGUCUGCCCAGGAAGGCAGGCAAAGAAAUGCAUUGCUCCCAGGGGUUGGACGCCUGCCCGGGACCAGGCCUUGAGCUGAGAACCUGGAAGCCCCUGCCAGGAUCCCUUCCUGGCCAGGCCUGCACGGGCGGGGAGUGAGGCUGGGGAUGACGCAGGGACACGGAAGCCCAGGCCCUGCUGCCCUCGUGCUCUCCGCUUGCACCUGCCAGCGUCAUGGUGGGAGCCAUGGAGGGAGAUGAUGUGGUGGGGACAGGCAACGACGGCAGAGUAAUGAGGGUGGGGACACUAAUGGUGGUCAAGGUGGCUCAGGUGCCAUUGGUGGUGGUGCAGAGUGUUGUGCUUAGUUGGGGUGGAGUGUGGGUUCCCAAGGGGGCAGGGGGCACUGAGAGUGGGAGGCCUCAGGCCUAGGGAGCCACACCAGGCCACAUGCUGAAAACGGACCUCCACAAAGGCCGCAGAGGGCUCUAGACUACUUCUCACACCUGGGCCACUCAGUGGCCAGGGCCUACAAAGAAGAGACUUCAAACAGCCCUGAGAGUUAACGUGGUCUUUAGGGCAUCACAGAUGGGGAGACUGAGGCAGGACAGGUCGGAAGCAGGGAGACCUGAUCAGAGCUUGUUCGGGCUCUGAACACCCCUGUGCUUAGAGACCCUCUGUACCCUCCCCCCCUCCCACGGGUGUGGCGGUUAUGGUGCAGUGUGGGUGGAAAGCCCCUGGGGAGGCCAGUGGCUCCAGCUCACCCUCUCCAAAGCGGGGCUUUGUCCGAUCCCGCAGUGGCCCUGUCUCAGGUUCCCUGCUCCCGACGUCCUGUUGCGCAGGGCUGGUGAUGGCGCAGCUGGACGUGUGCACAUGUCACUCACUACCCAAGCCCAAGCUUGGGAUGUCACUCAGCUCCCCAGGCCCGACCUCACUCGGCCCGG